AGUGAACGCUGGCGGCAGGCCUAAUACAUGCAAGUCGAACGGCCACACAAUAAGCUUUCGCCUUUACCGUUAGCGACUGACGGAUGAGUAAGACGUACAUCACAAACUUCUAUUACUGGGAUGAUUUCGUGAAACCGGUGCUACUAAUACAUAAUAUGUUCUACCGCUGAGUGCAAUAGAUAUUGGCGCCUUUCCUGUCACUUUUAGCUGAUGCCGCAUUAGCUAGUUGGCUUGGUAAGGGCUUACCAAGGCGACGAUACGUAGCUGACCUGAGAGGAUGAUCGGCCACACUGGAACUGAGACACGGUCCAGACUCCUACGGGAGGCAGCAGUGGGGAAUAUUCGACAAUGGGCGAAAGCCUGAUCCAGCAAUACCGCGUGGGUGAAGAAGGCCUUCGGGUUGUAAAGCCCUGUUGUUAGGGAAGAAAAGCAGUAGGUUAAUACCUGGAUGUCCUGACGGUACCCGAUGAAAAAGCAACGGCUAACUACGUG
RNAcentral lists this ribosomal RNA (492 nucleotides) under uncultured bacterium. Its description in RNAcentral is "partial 16S ribosomal RNA". It matches the Rfam family "Bacterial small subunit ribosomal RNA", at positions 29 to 507 of the family's 1533-position model. The record is from RNAcentral.